CGUGUAGGCGGUCUGUUAAGUCGGCUGUGAAAGCCCAUGGCUCAGCCAUGGAAGUGCAGUCGAUACUGGCGGGCUAGAGUCCCGGAGAGGGUGGUGGAAUUCCCAAUGUAGAGGUGAAAUUCGUAGAUAUUGGGAGGAACACCGGUGGCGAAGGCGACCACCUGGACGGGUACUGACGCUGAGACGCGAAAGCGUGGGGAGCAAACA
RNAcentral lists this ribosomal RNA (207 nucleotides) under uncultured bacterium. RNAcentral's name for it is "partial 16S ribosomal RNA". It matches the Rfam family "Bacterial small subunit ribosomal RNA", at positions 568 to 774 of the family's 1533-position model. The record is from RNAcentral.